AUCCUUUUGUAGUUCAUGAGCAUGAUGAUUGGAUGUUCAGACGCUUCUGUGAGAUGUGCUACCCUUGAACCUUGUUACGAUGUCGGCACAUUAUCCGUCUGACC
RNAcentral lists this small nucleolar RNA (104 nucleotides) under Sapajus apella (tufted capuchin). Its description in RNAcentral is "Cebus apella (Tufted capuchin) Small nucleolar RNA U13". It matches the Rfam family "Small nucleolar RNA U13". Lineage: Eukaryota; Metazoa; Chordata; Mammalia; Primates; Cebidae. The record is from Rfam by way of RNAcentral. RNAcentral also lists the same sequence under 1 other name.